RNAcentral lists this transfer RNA (74 nucleotides) under Sphaerospermopsis sp. SIO1G2. RNAcentral's name for it is "tRNA-Met". It matches the Rfam family "tRNA". Rfam says of the family: Transfer RNA (tRNA) molecules are approximately 80 nucleotides in length. Their secondary structure includes four short double-helical elements and three loops (D, anti-codon, and T loops). Lineage: Bacteria; Bacillati; Cyanobacteriota; Cyanophyceae; Nostocales; Aphanizomenonaceae. The record is from RNAcentral.
UGCGGGAUGGUGUAGCGGUAACAUUGAGGGUUCAUGUCCCUAAGCCCUGGGUUCGAUUCCCAGUCCCGCAUCCA